CGUGUAGGCGGCCGACUAAGUCUGAUGUGAAAUACCCGCUUUUAAGGUUGGUCGUGCAUUGGAAACUGGAUGGCUAGAGUGCGGAAGAGGUAAGUGGAAUUCCCAGUGUAGCGGUGAAAUGCGUAGAGAUUGGGAGGAACACCAGUGGCGAAGGCGACUUACUGGGCCGCAACUGACGCUGAGGCGCGAAAGCGUGGGGAGCAAACA
This 207-nucleotide ribosomal RNA is filed under the name uncultured bacterium. RNAcentral's name for it is "partial 16S ribosomal RNA". It matches the Rfam family "Bacterial small subunit ribosomal RNA", at positions 568 to 774 of the family's 1533-position model. The record is from RNAcentral.